Molecule: long non-coding RNA, 1922 nt
Organism: Oreochromis niloticus (Nile tilapia)
Lineage: Eukaryota; Metazoa; Chordata; Actinopteri; Cichliformes; Cichlidae
Exons: 2
Source: RefSeq, a predicted model, not a curated record
CUGAGGCUCAGCUGAAGCUCAGUCCCGAACAGCUGAUUGGCUGGAAACGCCACCGGGAGACCACCCCGCCCCUUUAUUCAGCCCCGCCCCUCCCACUGUGGCCGCUGAACUCCUUACCGCUGAUCUUAUUCCUACAGUGGUGAAAAGCCUCCAAAGAGUUGGAUGAUUUUCUCUUUUUGCAACUGGAUCCAUCCAGAUACUGGAAUCAGGGCGAUGGCCGUGUUGAUUAUUCCACCAUCUCCACACUCACUCAAUAAACACAAAAAACACAUGACGACACUCAAAAUGCUAUUGUUGAAACUUCAAAAUGUGGAAUUCAAAACCAGUGAGUGAUGUCAUGGUCAUAGUCUGCAUGUCAUAGGUGUGUCGUGACUAUGAUGCAUCUACAAUCUGUUGUUUGAAACACACUAAAGCUACAAUUGCAAAAUACAACCAACAUUUAUAUUGCUGUAGUUUGUAGUACUGUAAGUACUUUAUUACACAACCUGUUAAAUUACUUUGUUACUUUGAAGGUUAAGUUUUAACACAGAUGGCAAUUACAAUUUCCAGUUUCAAAAUGUAUUUAAGUUUAUAUAUAUGUAUAUGUACACACACACACACACACAAUUAUAACUGUUUUGUUCUUUCUUUCUUGGCUUCAUUAAAAAAUUCUUGACAUUUUGUGUCUCGUUCCAGAUUAAAAGUCCCCAUCAUGCAACGUCAUCAAAUGUCGUGUGGUCUUAGUUAACUUGAAAAGUAUAAAAUGUAGUAAAUGUUUUUACUACAGUUUGAAGUUGGAUUAAGUAGGGCAGGAGUCAGUCCCGAGGCCUGUGCACGAGAAGCAGCCUCGCAUGUCGUCUUCGGUUUGCCUUUCUUAUCACUGAUCUGCUGUCAGUCUCCACAGCAGUGUUUCCAUCACCAAGGCUCCAGAACGUUCAAAAUGGCGAAGAUGUGGAAAGUAUACUCAUCCAAACUCACUUCUUCCACUCAUACUUUAAUAGAAUAAUGAAAACACCCUGCUGUCCUGCUUUUAGCCUCAGUUAAAAUUGAAAUCUUGUUCUGGAUUUUACAUAAAACUUGGAUUUUUUUUUAUUGAAUCUCUUAUCACGAAAAUUUUUUACCAUUCAAGUCCAGACAAGUUCACCAUUUGCACUUUUCUGGUGGUUGUCAUUUGGGAGUCAUUUACUGGCAUUGUCCGUUGAACUACAAACCAGAUUUCUAUCUAUGUUGCAGGUUGUCAGGUGUAGAUAUAACACGACUGUAUCAAUUUGUGUUUAUGUAUAAGCAUCUGCAGAACAGACCAAGAGCUGGGUUUAAAUAUUCACUUUUUCUAAUUAGGAUAUGUAAGGUGUACAACUAAAAACCAAAGUAGACAGAAUAAAGCAGGACAGCCUGCGUCACAGCUAUUGUUGUUAUUCUGAGCGGAACAUCAAAGUUUCUCAUGAGCUGUGGUUUUAAGAGCAGGUUGCACCGCAUUGUUCAGAAACACAUAAAUGCUUUGGGUGUUUAACAUUGUCCUCCUGAGUCAACAUCUCAAAUAUUUCAGAUAGAAAAGAUACACAUACAGUAGCCUCUGCUUUUUGCUCACUGUAAUGUAAUACAGUGAGCAAAUUAUUAAACAUAUUUUCAUCUGUUUUUUUUUGACACAUCUGAAAUCAGUGCAAAGUGAGCAUUAAAAAUCACAGGAGCUGAAAUGAUACGCCAAACAAACAGCUGUCUCUCUCUGACAUCAUGAUAUUUAAUUCAUUUCAAAAAAUUAAAAUACACCUUCACAUCCUUUUAAAAUACAGUACAUUUGGCACGUAGCGCAAAAGGGCAAAAAAAAAAAAAAAUCAACAUGAACACAAAUGAAGGGCAUGGAAAUAAUUCAUCAAUGAACAAAAUGUACAGACAGAGCUUCACAAAUACAGGGACUGCGAACAAACCAACAAAAACCGCAUAAA